ACCUCAAAUCAGGUAGGACUACCCGCUGAACUUAAGCAUAUCAAUAAGCGGAGGAAAAGAAACUAACAAGGAUUCCCCUAGUAACUGCGAGUGAAGCGGGAAAAGCUCAAAUUUAAAAUCUGUCAGUCUUUGGCUGUCCGAGUUGUAAUCUAGAGAAGCGUUAUCCGCGCUGGACCGU
RNAcentral lists this ribosomal RNA (178 nucleotides) under Phlegmacium scaurocaninum. Its description in RNAcentral is "Cortinarius scaurocaninus partial 28S ribosomal RNA". It matches the Rfam family "Eukaryotic large subunit ribosomal RNA", at positions 1 to 178 of the family's 3401-position model. Lineage: Eukaryota; Fungi; Basidiomycota; Agaricomycetes; Agaricales; Cortinariaceae. The record is from RNAcentral.